RNAcentral lists this ribosomal RNA (523 nucleotides) under uncultured bacterium. Its description in RNAcentral is "partial 16S ribosomal RNA". It matches the Rfam family "Bacterial small subunit ribosomal RNA", at positions 354 to 892 of the family's 1533-position model. The record is from RNAcentral.
GUGGGGAAUAUUGCACAAUGGGCGAAAGCCUGAUGCAGCAACGCCGCGUGAGUGAUGAAGGUCUUCGGAUUGUAAAGCUCUGUCUUUUGGGACGAUAAUGACGGUACCAAAGGAGGAAGCCACGGCUAACUACGUGCCAGCAGCUGCGGUAAUACGUAGGUGGCGAGCGUUGUCCGGAUUUACUGGGCGUAAAGGGUGCGUAGGCGGAUGUUUAAGUGAGAUGUGAAAUACCCGGGCUUAACUUGGGUGCUGCAUUUCAAACUGGAUAUCUAGAGUGCAGGAGAGGAGAAUGGAAUUCCUAGUGUAGCGGUGAAAUGCGUAGAGAUUAGGAAGAACACCAGUGGCGAAGGCGAUUCUCUGGACUGUAACUGACGCUGAGGCACGAAAGCGUGGGUAGCAAACAGGAUUAGAUACCCUGGUAGUCCACGCCGUAAACGAUGAGUACUAGGUGUAGGAGGUAUCGACCCCUUCUGUGCCGCAGUAAACACAUUAAGUACUCCGCCUGGGGAAGUACGAUCGCAAG